AGAGUUUGAUCCUGGCUCAGGAUGAACGCUGGCGGCGUGCCUAAUACAUGCAAGUCGAACGAGAUUUUAUUAAUUGAUUACUUCGGUAUGAUUUUUCUAAAAUCGAGUGGCGGACGGGUGAGUAACACGUGGGUAACCUGCCCUUAAGUGGGGGAUAACAUUUGGAAACAGAUGCUAAUACCGCAUAAACCUCAGAAACACAUGUUUCUGAGUUGAAAGGCGGCUUUCGAGCUGUCGCUUUUGGAUGGACCCGCGGCGUAUUAGCUAGUUGGUGAGGUAAAGGCUCACCAAGGCAGUGAUACGUAGCCGACCUGAGAGGGUGAUCGGCCACAUUGGGACUGAGACACGGCCCAAACUCCUACGGGAGGCAGCAGUAGGGAAUCUUCCACAAUGGACGAAAGUCUGAUGGAGCAACGCCGCGUGAGUGAAGAAGGUUUUCGGAUCGUAAAACUCUGUUGUUGGAGAAGAACACGUUUGAGAGUAACUGUUCAGGCGUUGACGGUAUCCAACCAGAAAGCCACGGCUAACUACGUGCCAGCAGCCGCGGUAAUACGUAGGUGGCAAGCGUUAUCCGGAUUUAUUGGGCGUAAAGCGAGCGCAGGCGGUUUCUUAAGUCUGAUGUGAAAGCCUUCGGCUUAACCGAAGAAGUGCAUCGGAAACCGGGAAACUUGAGUGCAGAAGAGGACAGUGGAACUCCAUGUGUAGCGGUGAAAUGCGUAGAUAUAUGGAAGAACACCAGUGGCGAAGGCGGCUGUCUGGUCUGUAACUGACGCUGAGGCUCGAAAGCAUGGGUAGCGAACAGGAUUAGAUACCCUGGUAGUCCAUGCCGUAAACGAUGAAUGUAGGGGUUGGAGGGUUUC
RNAcentral lists this ribosomal RNA (860 nucleotides) under uncultured bacterium. Its description in RNAcentral is "bacterial SSU rRNA". It matches the Rfam family "Bacterial small subunit ribosomal RNA", at positions 8 to 833 of the family's 1533-position model. The record is from RNAcentral.